AUUGAACGCUGGCGGCAGGCCUAACACAUGCAAGUCGAGCGGAUGAAGGGAGCUUGCUCCUGGAUUCAGCGGCGGACGGGUGAGUAAUGCCUAGGAAUCUGCCUGGUAGUGGGGGAUAACGUCCGGAAACGGGCGCUAAUACCGCAUACGUCCUGAGGGAGAAAGUGGGGGAUCUUCGGACCUCACGCUAUCAGAUGAGCCUAGGUCGGAUUAGCUAGUUGGUGGGGUAAAGGCCUACCAAGGCGACGAUCUGUAACUGGUCUGAGAGGAUGAUCAGUCACACUGGAACUGAGACACGGUCCAGACUCCUACGGGAGGCAGCAGUGGGGAAUAUUGGACAAUGGGCGAAGGCCUGAUCCAGCCAUGCCGCGUGUGUGAAGAAGGUCUUCGGAUUGUAAAGCACUUUAAGUUGGGAGGAAGGGCAGUAAGUUAAUACCUUGCUGUUUUGACGUUACCAACAGAAUAAGCACCGGCUAACUUCGUG
Molecule: ribosomal RNA, 484 nt
Filed under: uncultured bacterium
Lineage: Bacteria
Description: partial 16S ribosomal RNA
Rfam family: Bacterial small subunit ribosomal RNA
Source: RNAcentral